AUGCAGUUCUCCCUGUUCUCGCUGUUCUUGGUGACAUUUGUUGGCUAUCUUAACCAUGGAUUUUCCGUUACACAGCGGAAGCCCUCACUCAUGCAAACGGAGGGAGAAAAUGUCAAUUUAAACUGCACGUACAACGUUUAUAUGUAUGACUUAUUCUGGUACCGCCAGUACCCUGGCAGAAAGCCCGAAUUCGCAGUCCGGACUUCCGAGAGUAGUGGUGCUGAAUUUAAGGCGGAUUUUGCACAGAAGCGAUUUUCUAGUACAGUACAGCAGUCGUACAAGUCGUAUCGAUUGACGAUCUCGAAGCUGCUGCUGUCUGACACCGCUCUCUAUUACUGUGCUGCGAGCCUCACAGUAAUGGGAACGAGCUACAGACUCGUACAAGCAGGGAAAACUACUUCACAAUUCAGAAAUUCCUGUUCACAUUCACUAUAUCCUAACCGCAUGGAUGCGGACUAUGUCAGAAUCAGUGUGAAUAUUUGUGUUCAAGCAUUCUUGUACACUCAGUACUACGUUGAGUAUGCUGCUCGUGACGGCUCAGUCUGGCUAACAGUAGCCUUCGCUAUUGACCGUUUUGUGGCCAUCAGCUGUCAACGGUUGAACACCACGUAUGGCACCAAGUAA
Non-coding RNA from Stegostoma tigrinum, 624 nucleotides. NCBI's taxonomy places the organism in Eukaryota, Metazoa, Chordata, Chondrichthyes, Orectolobiformes, Stegostomatidae. The record is from the annotation of a RefSeq genome assembly.